AACGAACGCUGGCGGCAUGCCUAACACAUGCAAGUCGAACGAGACCUUCGGGUCUAGUGGCGCACGGGUGCGUAACGCGUGGGAACCUGCCCUUAGGUUCGGAAUAACUCCCCGAAAGGGGUGCUAAUACCGGAUAAUGUCUUCGGACCAAAGAUUUAUCGCCUUUGGAUGGGCCCGCGUUGGAUUAGCUAGUUGGUAGGGUAAAAGCCUACCAAGGCGACCAUCCAUAGCUGGUCUGAGAGGAUGAUCAGCCACACUGGGACUGAGACACGGCCCAGAAUCCUACGGGAGGCAGCAGUGGGGAAUAUUGGAAAGUGGGCGAAAGCAUGAUCCAGCAAUGCCGCGUGAGUGAUGAAGGCCUUAGGGUUGUAAAGCUCUUUCACCCGGGACGAUAAUGACAGUACCGGGAGAAUAAGCUCCGGCUAACUCCGUG
Molecule: ribosomal RNA, 433 nt
Filed under: uncultured bacterium
Lineage: Bacteria
Description: partial 16S ribosomal RNA
Rfam family: Bacterial small subunit ribosomal RNA
Source: RNAcentral